RNAcentral lists this ribosomal RNA (406 nucleotides) under uncultured bacterium. RNAcentral describes it as "partial 16S ribosomal RNA". It matches the Rfam family "Bacterial small subunit ribosomal RNA", at positions 30 to 526 of the family's 1533-position model. The record is from RNAcentral.
AUUGAACGCUGGCGGCAGGCCUAACACAUGCAAGUCGAACGAGUGGCGGACUGGUGAGUAAUUUCUGGGAAACUGCCCGAUCGAGGGGGCUAACUACUGUAACCCUUGGCUAAUACCGCAUACCAUCGGUUCUGCCCAGAGGGGAUUAGCUAGUAGGUGGGGUAACGGCUCACCUAGGCGACGAUCCCUAGCUGGUCUGAGAGGAUGACCAGCCACACGGGAACUGAGACACGGUCCAGACUCCUACGGGAGGCAGCAGUGGGGAAUAUUGGACAAUGGGCGCAAGCCUGAUGCAGCCAUGCCGCGUGUAUGAAGAAGGCCUUCGGGUUGUAAAGUACUUUCAGCGAGGAGGCGUUACUCGAAGAAGAAGCACCGGCUAACUCCGUGCCAGCAGCCGCGGUAAUUC